RNAcentral lists this ribosomal RNA (548 nucleotides) under Helicotylenchus minzi. RNAcentral describes it as "eukaryotic LSU rRNA". It matches the Rfam family "Eukaryotic large subunit ribosomal RNA", at positions 587 to 813 of the family's 3401-position model. Lineage: Eukaryota; Metazoa; Nematoda; Chromadorea; Rhabditida; Hoplolaimidae. The record is from RNAcentral.
UAUCUGGCCUGCAUUCAGCCGCGCCCCGCUGGCGUCAGGGAUGCCGCUCUCCAGAUUGGGACGGUGGUCUGACUUCUCGGUGGGUUUCGUGGUGCAUUUGCAGGUGGAGUGCGCCGAGGCGCUCGGUGUAGCGGCAUGAGCUUGGCUUUGAGGCCAGCCUCGCAAGAGGUCUGGUACCCGGGCCAGGGGAGUGCUGUUUGUGCUGGGCGCAGCAAAGGGCAAUGGUCUCGGGCUCGUGUGGGUGCCGAGCUGGCGGUCGGCGUCGGUCGCGUGCGACACGUGCCAUCAGUCAGUUCGGUCCUGCUCGAGCUCACAUCUGCUCGACCUCGGUGUAAAAGCCGGUCAUCUGUCCGACCCGUCUUGAAACACGGACCAAGGAGUUUAGNGUGUGCGCGAGUCAUUGGGCGUUGAAAACCCAAAGGCGCAAUGAAAGUGAAUGCCUCCCUUGCGGAGCUGAUGUGUGAUCCUGGAUGCCUCGGCAUACUGGGCGCAACAUAGUCCCGUCCCGAUUGCUUGCAAUGGGGCGGAGACAGAGCGUACGCGCUGAG